AGUAGAAAUAACCCAGCAUUCGUAGACCUCAUGGCCCUUCACCUGCUGCAUGGCUCAGAGCGAGGCCCCAGCCCUCAGCAACAAAGGCGACCGUGUGCACCGAAUGGAAACCUGCAGAAUAUCAGGAGGAUACCGAGCAAGCCAGUCCCCGACGUCUGCACCAAAAAGAUGACAUUUGUGCAUAAAAAUGUGUCUACAUAUGUAUGUACAGCAAAAUACAAAAGAAAAUAAUUUAAAGUGUUAGCAAUAGUUAGCUUUAAAAAGUAAGAUGAUGUGGAAUUUAAAAUUUUGGCUUAUCUGGAUUUUCUUUAAUGAAUAUGCAUUUCUCUUGUAUCUCUCAAAGCUUUUUAUUUCCUUAAACAUUACUGUAGACAGAGAGUUAAAGGGCUGUCAUUCUUUCCCUCAUGAAAAGGUGCUGUUUUGAAGAAUCAAGCUUUCUUUGUAACUAAAGUUUUAUUAAUUUGAAUGCUAAUAAUUUAAGAAGUAUCAUCUUCAGACUCAGCCAACCAUGAACGGGCAUCUCUGGAGGAAAACCGUGUCUGUGAUAAACACACAGAGGCUUUUUCUUGUCAUCAUUUCCUCAAAAAUAUAAAAGAACCAUGUAUUUCCCUUGUACAUGGUAUCGCAUGUGGCUGAGAUAUUGCUUCUACCUCACCGCCGCGUUGAGAAGCCGACAUGUGCUUGUAAGUGGUUGAGAGAUUGUUUUUUCAGGACUUUUAUAGGUAAAUGGAUGCAACUUGAGACCCUACUCAUUAGUGAACUAAAUAAGACACACGUGUGUAAACACCACAUUGUCUCAUUGGUGUAAGAAGCUGGAAGAAACAACAAAAAGAAAACAAAGUAUACAGGAGGAUUUGUGAUGCCGUGCCUUCUAUACAAAGGACUUGAACAUCCAGAGACUCUGGACUCCGCGAGGGUCCCAGCACCAAACCCCAUCUACUCACAAAGGCUGAGACAGCUGUUCCCAGCAGCACGCACCCUCAUACCUUCUUGGGAUAGAUCCCAUAAGAGUUGAAGUGUAAUCUCAUCAGGAGGAAGGGGCCAAAUUCUCCAUGUCCUCCGAUAAUACUUGGACCUCCAGGGCCAUUGGAAGAGUGGCAGUGUUUGUGUCUGUGUCUCCACCUUCAGAGUCUCUAGACUGGUUUCUUAGAGCUUUUCCAGCUCCUCCAGGGCAUACAAACCUUCAGUCUCAGAAUCCCAGUCUUUUAAUAGGGCGCUUCUACCUCACCGCAGCAUUGAGAAGCCGACAUGCACUUGUUAGAAGUGUGAGCCAAGUAGAGGACCGGGACCGGACCUUGGCUGCAAGCUCUGUUCGAGGGGAAAACAGCCAGUCCCCACAGGCAGCACUUACAUCAGGACAGAGCUUGGAAGGGACAAACACGUGAAUCACGCUACGUGUUAUCCUGAUAGUGGCUGGCAGCUGUUGGAAACCAAAGGAAGUGAGGUGCUCCUAUGUGUGUUUGCUAUUUUUAUUUGUUGAUUUAUAUUUUUUUUCCGGUGUUAGAGGAUGGAGCCCAGCUCUGCACAUGUGCUAAGCCUGUUACUUAAAGGACGGUUUAGUGUGCUACAGGAAGACAGAAAUAUGGGCUGUAAAAUACAAAAGGAAGAAAGUCGAGCUGUAAAAACAAGCUACAAGGGAUAUUAUAUGUGUUGUCUCUUCUAACUGAUAAAUUCAAAUAUAUUCUCCUUUUAAGACAAUCCAUGAGGGAAAUUUAUUUCUGGCUCCUGUGCCAGAGAAAGAGAUGUCUUAAUUAAAUUAUUGAUUCUUUUUAUGUCUCAGGUCUGUGAAUAUUAUAAAUAAUUGCAUUUUC
Molecule: long non-coding RNA, 1811 nt
Organism: Cavia porcellus (domestic guinea pig)
Lineage: Eukaryota; Metazoa; Chordata; Mammalia; Rodentia; Caviidae
Exons: 2
Source: RefSeq, a predicted model, not a curated record